AGCCACAUUAGUGCUUCUGUAGGA
Molecule: non-coding RNA, 24 nt
Filed under: Arabidopsis thaliana (thale cress)
Lineage: Eukaryota; Viridiplantae; Streptophyta; Magnoliopsida; Brassicales; Brassicaceae
Source: RNAcentral